GUACACUCCUGCGGGAGGCAGCAGUGGGGAAUUUUGGACAAUGGGCGAAAGCCUGAUCCAGCAAUGCCGCGUGUGUGAAGAAGGCCUUCGGGUUGUAAAGCACUUUUGUCCGGAAAGAAAUCCUUGGCUCUAAUACAGUCGGGGGAUGACGGUACCGGAAGAAUAAGCACCGGCUAACUACGUGCCAGCAGCCGCGGUAAUACGUAGGGUGCGAGCGUUAAUCGGAAUUACUGGGCGUAAAGCGUGCGCAGGCGGUUUGCUAAGACCGAUGUGAAAUCCCCGGGCUCAACCUGGGAACUGCAUUGGUGACUGGCAGGCUAGAGUAUGGCAGAGGGGGGUAGAAUUCCACGUGUAGCAGUGAAAUGCGUAGAGAUGUGGAGGAAUACCGAUGGCGAAGGCAGCCCCCUGGGCCAAUACUGACGCUCAUGCACGAAAGCGUGGGGAGCAAACAGGAUUAGAUACCCCGGUAGUCCC
Molecule: ribosomal RNA, 474 nt
Filed under: uncultured organism
Description: partial 16S ribosomal RNA
Rfam family: Bacterial small subunit ribosomal RNA
Source: RNAcentral